Ornithorhynchus anatinus (platypus) is the source of this 359-nucleotide long non-coding RNA. RefSeq lists it as uncharacterized. Lineage: Eukaryota; Metazoa; Chordata; Mammalia; Monotremata; Ornithorhynchidae. The transcript has 3 exons. The record is from RefSeq and is a predicted model, not a curated record.
CUGGGAUUUCCACAGUACUGCUUUUCUUCCUAAACUUUAUUUCGUUUGCUGAUCCGUAUCCCCGGCACGCUUCCAAACCAUUUUACUCCAGUAAAUAGCAGAGUGGAGAAAGGACCAAUUGACACAGAAAACAUCAAGAAACAUCCACACAGGCAAACUCUACAAGACCUCAUCGACAGAUUUAGCACUUUUAGCACCACAAGACCUAGAAAUCACCAUUAGAUGAGAUGUUAAAGCUAACGUACAAUGUCUCGGGUUUAAAAAAAAAAAGAAAUCACAGAAAUAUUCCGUACAAAUGUGUGACCAAUUGAUGUCCGAAUGGGAAAACAUGAAAUUAAAGUUCACAUCGGCUGGUCACA